This 492-nucleotide ribosomal RNA is filed under the name uncultured bacterium. RNAcentral's name for it is "partial 16S ribosomal RNA". It matches the Rfam family "Bacterial small subunit ribosomal RNA", at positions 29 to 507 of the family's 1533-position model. The record is from RNAcentral.
AGUGAACGCUGGCGGUAGGCCUAACACAUGCAAGUCGAACGGCAGCACGGUAAGAGCUUGCCCUUACGGGUGGCGAGUGGCGGACGGGUGAGGAAUACAUCGGAAUCUACUUUUUCGUGGGGGAGAACGUAGGGAAACUUACGCGAAUACUGCAUACGACCUACGGGUGAAAGCAGGGGAUCUUCGGACCUCGCGCGAUUGAAUGAGCCGAUGUCGGAUUAGCUAGUUGGCGGGGUAAGGGCCCACCAAGGCGACGAUCCGUAGCUGGUCUGAGAGGAUGAUCAGCCCCACUGGAACUGAGACACGGUCCAGACUCCUACGGGAGGCAGCGGUGGGGAAUAUUGGACAAUGGGCGCAAGCCUGAUCCAGCCAUACCGAGUGGGUGAAAAAGGCCUUCGGGUUGUAAAGCCCUUCUGUUGGGGAAGAAAAGCAGCAGGUUAAUACCCCGCUGUUCUGACGGUACCCAACGAAUAAGCACCGGCUAACUUCGUG